AUGUGUAUAUAUCAGUUUUACAAACUAACUAGCUUGGUUGGCGUGAGUGCACGUGCACUCUCAUUUCUUAAGAGAGGUUAGGAGUUCAAACUCAUCUC
This is a long non-coding RNA of Ipomoea nil (Japanese morning glory), 98 nucleotides long. RefSeq lists it as uncharacterized. Lineage: Eukaryota; Viridiplantae; Streptophyta; Magnoliopsida; Solanales; Convolvulaceae. The record is from RefSeq and is a predicted model, not a curated record. The transcript has 3 exons.